GAACGCCCCGCAAGGGGAGUGGCAGACGGGUGAGUAACGCGUGGGAAUCUACCCAAUACUACGGAAUAGCUCCGGGAAACUGGAAUUAAUACCGUAUGUGCCCUACGGGGGAAAGAUUUAUCGGUAUUGGAUGAGCCCGCGUUGGAUUAGCUAGUUGGUGAGGUAAAAGCUCACCAAGGCGACGAUCCAUAGCUGGUCUGAGAGGAUGAUCAGCCACACUGGGACUGAGACACGGCCCAGACUCCUACGGGAGGCAGCAGUGGGGAAUAUUGGACAAUGGGCGAAAGCCUGAUCCGGCCAUGCCGCGUGAGUGAUGAAGGCCUUAGGGUUGUAAAGCUCUUUCAGUAGGGAAGAUAAUGACGGUACCUACAGAAGAAGCCCCGGCUAACUUCGUGCCAGCAGCCGCG
RNAcentral lists this ribosomal RNA (407 nucleotides) under uncultured soil bacterium. Its description in RNAcentral is "bacterial SSU rRNA". It matches the Rfam family "Bacterial small subunit ribosomal RNA", at positions 64 to 519 of the family's 1533-position model. The record is from RNAcentral.